UUUAAUUGAAAUAUUUUAUUAUUUUGUUAAAUUUAUUAACAGUAAAUUUUUUGCAAUUAAAG
RNAcentral lists this transfer RNA (62 nucleotides) under Aclerda takahashii. RNAcentral describes it as "tRNA-Val". The record is from RNAcentral. Lineage: Eukaryota; Metazoa; Arthropoda; Insecta; Hemiptera; Aclerdidae.